AAAGCUGUCUCAGUCAUCCCCGUGACCUGAUCCAGACCCACGAUACGGUCCACUGGGGAGAAGAAAAAAGAGAAGGAUGUGAGCCAAAGUGAAGUCUUUAGCAGGGAAAGAAAAGACACAGUGAGAGUGCAGCAGCACAAGCUUUGUGGAACGAAUGCACAUGGGGACCUGGGACUGUGUGAAGAGCUUUAUGUGCAAGAUCUCACUCGAUUUUCCAUUUCUGAUGGGGUUUUUACAGAAGAGGAGACCAUGCCCCUGGGAGGUAAAGUACCUGCUCAAGUUAUGCAGGUCUUACAUGGAUGCUGGGAGAAAG
Microcebus murinus (gray mouse lemur) is the source of this 313-nucleotide non-coding RNA. Lineage: Eukaryota; Metazoa; Chordata; Mammalia; Primates; Cheirogaleidae. The record is from RefSeq and is a predicted model, not a curated record.